RNAcentral lists this unclassified non-coding RNA (723 nucleotides) under Hevea brasiliensis (rubber tree). Lineage: Eukaryota; Viridiplantae; Streptophyta; Magnoliopsida; Malpighiales; Euphorbiaceae. The record is from RNAcentral.
GGCUGAGGAGCUAACUUGGGGUAUAUACAGGAAGAACCUAAAAAGAGCAAUUUCUUGACGCCAUGGCGAAAAGAGGAGUCGAUGACAUUGGUUUGGAUCUGGAGAUUGAUGGCUAUGAAAUCAGCCGGAUAAGUGUUAUUAGCGUGGAUGCCACCAACUUUGGCAGCAGCCAAGAUAACAAAUUCCGGCUUUUCAGUGGAAAAGAAGGACUCAACAUCUGACUGGCGAGUGAGGUCGAACUCAGCAUGGGUGCGGAGGAUGAGCUUAGUGAAGCCAAGGACCUGGAAUUUGCGAACGAUAGCAGAGCCAACUAGACCGCGGUGGCCAGCUACGAAGAUCUUGGACGAUUUGUUGGAGAGGAAAGAAGGUGAAUCAUGGUUAGGGCUGCCCAUUUGUUAGAGGCAAAUCACCGCGGUGAUGGUGGAUGAGUGGAGCUCACAAUUACACACAAAUCCAAAGCAGUCAAUAGUGUUCGAAGGCCAAGUUGCUAAAGGGUGCCUAAAGCCCUUUCGUUUAAAUAGAAGGUAGAAAUCAAGGGGCUUGAGUUAGAGUUAAGCUGAGCCUGCUUCUACAAUCUGGUCCAGCCUCUAUAGAAAGCAGAAAGCUUGCUGCUUUGGGCUGGUCAAAAGUCUUCUCUUUUUUCCCUUCAGGAUUUGCUCUUUCUGUGCUUAGAUCUGAGUAAAAACAGAAUCAAUUUCAGUGAGAAUGGCGGUGCGAUUUGAC